GACGAGCGCUGGCGGCGUGCUUAACACAUGCAAGUCGAACGGUGAAGCGCCUUCCUUUUUGGUGGGUGUGGAUGAGUGGCGAACGGGUGAGUAACACGUGAGUAACCUGCCCCCUUCUUCUGGAUAACCGCAUGAAAGUGUGGCUAAUACGGGAUAUUCUGGGUCUGUCGCAUGAUGGGUCUGGGAAAGAUAUUGUUUCGGUGGGGGAUGGGCUCGCGGCCUAUCAGCUUGUUGGUGGGGUGAUGGCCUACCAAGGCGGUGACGGGUAGCCGGCCUGAGAGGGUGGACGGUCACACGGGGACUGAGACACGGCCCAGACUCCUACGGGAGGCAGCAGGGGGGAAUAUUGCACAAUGGGCGCAAGCCUGAUGCAGCGACGCCGCGUGAGGGAUGGAGGCCUUCGGGUUGUGAACCUCUUUCGCCAGUGAAGCAGGCCUGCCUCGUUUGUGGGUGGGUUGACGGUAGCUGGAUAAGAAGCGCCGGCUAACUACGUG
Molecule: ribosomal RNA, 494 nt
Filed under: uncultured bacterium
Lineage: Bacteria
Description: partial 16S ribosomal RNA
Rfam family: Bacterial small subunit ribosomal RNA
Source: RNAcentral